GACGAACGCUGGCGGCGUGCCUAACACAUGCAAGUCGAACGGGGAGUUACUUGUAAUUCCUAGUGGCGAACGGGUGAGUAACGCGUAGACAACCUGCCUCUAAAUUGGGGACAACACCGCGAAAGUGGUGCUAAUACCGAAUGUGGUAACUUGAUCGCAUGAUCGAGUUAAGAAAGAUGGCCGCUAUUUAUAAGCUAUCGAUUAGAGAUGGGUCUGCGUCUGAUUAGCUAGUUGGUGAGGUAAUGGGCCACCAAGGCGACGAUCAGUAGCCGGUCUGAGAGGAUGAACGGCCACACUGGGACGGAGACACGGCCCAGACUCCUACGGGAGGCAGCAGUGGGGAAUCUUCCGCAAUGGACGAAAGUCUGACGGAGCAACGCCGCGUGAGUGAAGAAGGUCUUCGGAUUGUAAAGCUCUGUCGUUUGGGACGAACGUGCUUUGUGUGAAUAAUGCAGAGUAAUGACGGUACCAAAGGAGGAAGCCACGGCUAACUACGUGCCAGCCGCCGCCGUAA
RNAcentral lists this ribosomal RNA (514 nucleotides) under uncultured bacterium. RNAcentral describes it as "partial 16S ribosomal RNA". It matches the Rfam family "Bacterial small subunit ribosomal RNA", at positions 28 to 523 of the family's 1533-position model. The record is from RNAcentral.